UCCGGUUGCGUACUUGGGGUACUUUAACAGCAAAUAUCCACUCUCUCCUUGACGUCUUUAUCGAUUCAGAUUCAGUCCUAGAAAUCACUUAACUUGUCUGUGGUAAGAGCAGUUUUAUAAGAGUAUUAUUGAAGUCUGUGUGCGCAUGUAAGACCCUGUGUGUAUGAAGAUGCCAAGCCUAUCUGUAAAUGUGUGUGUGUGUUUGUGUGUGUUUUCAUGUGUGUGUGUCGUCUCCAGAGAGAAGCAUUCUGAUACUAUUGUUAGUGAAAUCUAAUCUGUGUGUGUCGUAUUGGGUUGGGGGCUGGAGGGGUCUGGGUACCAGGGGAAAGUGUGUGUGUGUGUGUGUGUGUGUGUGUGUGUGUGUGUGUGUGUGUGUGUGUGUGUGUGUGUGUGUGUGUGUGUGUGUGUGUGUGUGUGUGUGUGUGUGAUGUUGUUUUGGAGGACAUUGUGCUGAGCUCGGGUCUUCGGCAGCCUCUUUCUCCAUUAAUGCUCCAUUAGCCAAAUUAGAGGCCUAAUUGGGGAGGCGAGGAGAGCUCUCUCAAAAGCAGCGUGUGUGUGUGUUGGUGUGUGUUUGUGUGUGUGUGUGUGCUGGGUCAUUUACUGUAAAAGAAGACGUCUGAAAGGACAUUUGAUUUCAGACAGGAGGGCUGUUAUCAGCAGGGCCUGUGAAUGGGUAAAGGUGCAACUUUGGAUGAGAAAUGUUGGGCUCUUUGGCUGAAACGCCGGACAUAUCCGAGCUCUGACGACAGCAGCUGAUGCUAAUGGACCAUCCUGAAGGCCUUAAAGGGCAGGCGGCUGGCAAUUUGAUUAGCAGGUUAUUAGCUAAUUAGCUAGCUACUUAGUGUGCUUGUUGCCCUCAAGGCCUGGUGGUGGGGAGGGAAACUGGAAGAGACACGAGGCAGGAGUGUUCAUUCAUUGUGUGAGUGAGUGAGUGUGGAGAGAGAGAGGCACUUACCUUCACAUUCUCAGACCAAAGAGGAGAAAACUGGACCACAUCCUAACAUAUUCAAACCAAGUUGUCAUGAUAUUUUUUAUAUAACCUUUAUUUAACCAGGUAACAACCCGUUGAGAUCGAGAUCUCAUUCACAAGAGUGACCAGGCCAAGAGGUCGCCAGCACACAUCAUAAUGAUAAACUAGUGGAAAUGCUGAGUGCCGAAAGCUGAAAAAGGAAUGCAAAACUGCUAAUAAAACAUGGAGAAAGGUAUAAAUGUAAAAGCUGUUAGAGGGUGAAAAAGAAAUGGAAGUUGGAUAAUUGUGAAAAUGGUUCAAGGACAAAUAGUAUGAAUAUGCUCCAUAAAUUGAACAUUUAUUCAUGCUGAAAGAGGUUAGAAAAAAAAUGUCUGAAAUUGCACAAAGUUUGAAUGAAGAAGGAAAUUACCUUAAAAGGCAGGAAGGUGAGAAGUGGCGUAAGUUUAAGUUGUAGUACUAGAAGUAGUAUGAUGACUAGUCAUAGUAGUGAUAUUAGUAGUCAUGUAAGCAGUAGAAGUAGGUUGAGAAUAGAAGAAGUAGAAGUCAAAGUGGUAGGACUAGUGGUAGAAGUAGUUGAAGCAGUAGAGAAAGUAGAAGUAGUAGAAAUAGUAGUUGAAGUAGAAGUUUAAUUAAUAUUAGCAGUAGUUGUAGUAGAAGUGGGAUUUUGUUUGUAGGAUUGAAUAAUGCAUGAAUAUUAAAACUAAUUUAAAACAGGGAAGAUUUUAAUAAUUACAAAUCCUAAAAUAUUAGAAAGGUUGUAAGUAUCAGAAAGGUUUGAAUCAGUUUGAUUAGCUUCAUGUGUCUCAUAUGGCUACUAGAAGCAGCUUUCCAGUCAGCUGAGCGGAUCAGUUGUCUCUAAAUCUAUAAUGUACACAUUAUAGAUGUGGAUUUUUCUCUUUUUGUUGCUUUUUUCAUUUAUUUAUCUAUUCUUUAUUAAAUCCUUAUUUCUGCAUUUCGGUCUUUUUCUUUGUUUAACCCUGCCCAGCGUGACACAAAUAACUCUAAAGUAGCUGGCAGAAACAGCCGCAAUAUGAUAAACUGUAAAUGAGUAAAAGUUUGAGCUAAUCCUCUGAGGUCUGCAGGUCAUCCUGAAAUCUUCCAACCUCUGCACUUCUCACUGGCCUGUUAAACUGCGCCGUGGAGUUUUGUGCAGGGAAGAAAAAAUAUUAAAUGCUCUUUUUUUUGUUUUCAUCGUGACCCUUCUUUCACUCCCAGAUCACACACGAGUCAAAAUACUGCUCAAUGAAGAAAGACGGCGUGUCCUCAGGAGCUGACGCGUCUCUCUUCACACAUUAAAUCUUUGUUUUCUUUGAAAACAGAGCAGCAUCCAGGUAUUGUGCUGCAGGAGCGGCUCAGCAGCUGAAGAGAAGAAUUGAUGGUGGUUUGACAUUUUUUUCUGCUGGCAGGCACACCGAAGGAGAGACGAACAACCAGAGUGUGUGGUCUCAUUUUUGCAAACUUUGAAACGUCUUAAUCUACAUUUCAGCGUGUCAUGUUUAUGAAAUGAUGUCAGUAUUUAGUUAAAGCUGCAGUGAGGAGUUUUUAAACCAGGCUGAUGUCUCUUUAGUUCAUGAACUACAAAAACAAACAAGGCGAUCAGUGACAUGAUUGUUUUUAUUGUAGUUUUUUUUGUCUGUAACUGCAUCAGAUGGAGUCAUGGCUAACCUUGGCCUUUGCUUUGAUUUUCCACAGUGAAGAUUCUUGAUGAUGGAAAUAUUAGAUAGUUUGAAACAGCAGAACGACGUUUCAAAGAUGAGAGCAGCUUGACAAUGAGAUUUAUAUUUUGACCACAGGGGGCGCCAAAAUCAACACAAACUUAAAGUCCCCCAAAAGAGGUUGGAGGAAGAUAUGUAUCUAUGAAAGGCUCAUUUUCAGUUAAUAUAGUGAUUUAUAUAUUCAUUAAUAUUCAGACGAUUAUAAAAGUAGUGUAAACAUACUUUUGAAUAUCAUACCCCCUUUUUACCAGGUCUGCUGCUGAGGUCUAAAAAAAUCUAAACGUAGUUUUGACUUUGUGGAGCCUGUCAGUGGCAGUCUCCAGAUUGGCAAUGCUAGCUCAACCUAACUUUUGUCAACCUACCAGAGGCGGGCCUUUAGCCUCUUCAUAAAUGGCCACAGUUUGCGUGUCAGUCAAGUCAGUUGUGUCUCUGAUUUGCUAAUCUUGUCUCCUUGACAACUACAAAAAAGUUUAACUCACCGUACUGUGGGUGCUGUGGGAGCCCCGAGCUAUUCAGGCCAAAACUGUUUCAGAAACCAGACUGUAAACAUGUUUAUUUUGUUCUAAAAAUGGCCCAUUUUCUUGCUUAGUGUGUAUGUGGUUUCUGGUGUUUCUGCAGACAGCCUCUAGUGGACACUCAAAGAACUACAAGUGUUUCUUUGUACUUCCAUAUUGGCUUCAUUUCAGCUACACUUCAAUUACUCUAUCACCAAGUAAAGAAAAUGGUAAACAUAUAAAAGUCAAAAUAAUUGAGGAUAGAUGGAGUGUUCAAAGUUGGAGUAUUAAGGCCCGAAACAUAUUUGAGGUUAAUUUCCAUCAGUUUAACGCACUUUCCUUUCACUGGUUUAGGAAGAGUCAUUAAAUUAUUUGUACUGGAAAUGCUCUGGACUCUGGUUUUUGGACUCUGGAGGAACUGCUGUUUUUUUUGCACAUCUGCAUUCGCUUCAUUCUUCAACACAUGAGGUUGCUGCUUGCACACUACUUAAUCCCAGCUGCCCCAGAGGCUCAUGGGUGAUUAUCCACCGCCACAUCUCUGCCUUCUCUUAUCAGCAAGUCAGGGUGUGUUGUAGGAUGAUUAAUCAAUAAUUUUAAUGGCUGUUGUUCGUCUUCAUGGAGGACCUCUCUGGGGAUGAUGGAGGCAUGCGACAAUCGAUUAUGAUGUGACGCUGAUGUGGCAACAAGCUUGUGGAAUAGUUGGAUUGGAUUUACUUUUUAACCCUUAUUUAUGCCAAAAAGUAUAUCAGUUUUGUUAAAGUUUUAAAUCCCCUUCAGCCAAGAAAGUUUUGGAUCAACAUCUCAGACUUUUUAAAACCUUCUCAUCUUAGAAUAAACCUUGUAUUCAGACUACAUGUUCAGCUUUGGUUUGCCCUUGAUCGAGCUGGUCUCUGCUGCAAACCCUGCUGAUUUCUGGAAAAAUUGAAGCCCCGGUAAAUAACUAGGUUACCAAGCCUGUAAUUUGUAAGUAAUAGAAGUUGUCCUGGGUGAGGGCACAUAGAUAUGGUCCAGGAAAUGUUUUUAAACAUGGGAGGCAGCAGGGGAAAAUCCAGAGAGGCCGCUCCACUUCAAUCCUGGUAAACGGGGACAAACAGGAUUAAGUUGGAGGUAGCGGACUGGGGAGAGGGCAAGCUUAACCUCGGGACUUUCAACAGCUCUGAGUGGAUGCUG
Molecule: non-coding RNA, 4349 nt
Organism: Xyrichtys novacula (pearly razorfish)
Lineage: Eukaryota; Metazoa; Chordata; Actinopteri; Labriformes; Labridae
Source: the annotation of a GenBank genome assembly